UACGUAGGGAGCAAGCGUUGUCCGGAAUCAUUGGGCGUAAAGCGCGCGUAGGUGGCUUCGUAAGUCCGUUGUGAAAGUCAAAGGCUCAACCUUUGAAAGCCGAUGGAUACUGCGGAGCUAGAGUACGGAAGAGGCGAGUGGAAUUCCUGGUGUAGCGGUGGAAUGCGCAGAUAUCAGGAGGAACACCAAUAGCGAAGGCAGCUCGCUGGGACGUUACUGACACUGAGGCCCGAAAGCGUGGGGAGCGAACAGG
Molecule: ribosomal RNA, 253 nt
Filed under: uncultured bacterium
Lineage: Bacteria
Description: partial 16S ribosomal RNA
Rfam family: Bacterial small subunit ribosomal RNA
Source: RNAcentral